AUUGCAUUUGCAAAAAAUUAAUGAUUUUGUAUUAUCACCUGGACCCCAACCAUACAAGGUGGCUGUCUAUGUUCCAGGAAGUAAAGAUAAAGUUACAAUGCUGUGGAAUAAAAAAGCUACUGCUGUGUUGGUAAUAGCUAGCACAGAUGUUGACAAGACAGGAGCUUCCUACUAUGGAGAACAAACUCUACACUACAUUGCAACAAAUGGAGAAAGUGCUGUAGUGCAAUUACCAAAAAAUGGCCCCAUUUAUGAUGUAGUUUGGAAUUCUAGUUCUACUGAGUUUUGUGCUGUAUAUGGUUUUAUGCCUGCCAAAGCGACAAUUUUCAACUUGAAAUGUGAUCCUGUAUUUGACUUUGGAACUGGUCCUCGUAAUGCAGCCUACUAUAGCCCUCAUGGACAUAUAUUAGUAUUAGCUGGAUUUGGAAAUCUGAGGGGACAAAUGGAAGUGUGGGAUGUGAAAAACUACAAACUUAUUUCUAAACCGGUGGCUUCUGAUUCUACAUAUUUUGCUUGGUGCCCGGAUGGUGAGCAUAUUUUAACAGCUACAUGUGCUCCCAGGUUACGGGUUAAUAAUGGAUACAAAAUUUGGCAUUAUACUGGCUCUAUCUUGCACAAGUAUGAUGUGCCAUCAAAUGCAGAAUUAUGGCAGGUUUCUUGGCAGCCAUUUUUGGAUGGAAUAUUUCCAGCAAAAACAAUAACUUACCAAGCAGUUCCAAGUGAAGUACCCAAUGAGGAACCUAAAGUUGCAACAGCUUAUAGACCCCCAGCUUUAAGAAAUAAACCAAUCACCAAUUCCAAAUUGCAUGAAGAGGAACCACCUCAGAAUAUGAAACCACAAUCAGGAAACGAUAAGCCAUUAUCAAAAACAGCUCUUAAAAAUCAAAGGAAGCAUGAAGCUAAGAAAGCUGCAAAGCAGGAAGCAAGAAGUGACAAGAGUCCAGAUUUGGCACCUACUCCUGCCCCACAGAGCACACCACGAAACACUGUCUCUCAGUCAAUUUCUGGGGACCCUGAGAUAGACAAAAAAAUCAAGAACCU
Molecule: long non-coding RNA, 1041 nt
Filed under: Homo sapiens (human)
Lineage: Eukaryota; Metazoa; Chordata; Mammalia; Primates; Hominidae
Description: long non-coding RNA NONHSAT194647.1
Source: RNAcentral